RNAcentral lists this ribosomal RNA (879 nucleotides) under uncultured bacterium. Its description in RNAcentral is "bacterial SSU rRNA". It matches the Rfam family "Bacterial small subunit ribosomal RNA", at positions 32 to 903 of the family's 1533-position model. The record is from RNAcentral.
AACGCUAGCUACAGGCUUAACACAUGCAAGUCGAGGGGCAGCAUGGUCUUAGCUUGCUAAGGCCGAUGGCGACCGGCGCACGGGUGAGUAACACGUAUCCAACCUGCCGUCUACUCUUGGACAGCCUUCUGAAAGGAAGAUUAAUACAAGAUGGCAUCAUGAGUCCGCAUGUUCACAUGAUUAAAGGUAUUCCGGUAGACGAUGGGGAUGCGUUCCAUUAGAUAGUAGGCGGGGUAACGGCCCACCUAGUCUUCGAUGGAUAGGGGUUCUGAGAGGAAGGUCCCCCACAUUGGAACUGAGACACGGUCCAAACUCCUACGGGAGGCAGCAGUGAGGAAUAUUGGUCAAUGGGCGAGAGCCUGAACCAGCCAAGUAGCGUGAAGGAUGACUGCCCUAUGGGUUGUAAACUUCUUUUAUAAAGGAAUAAAGUCGGGUAUGGAUACCCGUUUGCAUGUACUUUAUGAAUAAGGAUCGGCUAACUCCGUGCCAGCAGCCGCGGUAAUACGGAGGAUCCGAGCGUUAUCCGGAUUUAUUGGGUUUAAAGGGAGCGUAGAUGGAUGUUUAAGUCAGUUGUGAAAGUUUGCGGCUCAACCGUAAAAUUGCAGUUGAUACUGGAUAUCUUGAGUGCAGUUGAGGCAGGCGGAAUUCGUGGUGUAGCGGUGAAAUGCUUAGAUAUCACGAAGAACUCCGAUUGCGAAGGCAGCCUGCUAAGCUGCAACUGACAUUGAGGCUCGAAAGUGUGGGUAUCAAACAGGAUUAGAUACCCUGGUAGUCCACACGGUAAACGAUGAAUACUCGCUGUUUGCGAUAUACAGCAAGCGGCCAAGCGAAAGCGUUAAGUAUUCCACCUGGGGAGUACGCCGGCAACGGUGAAACUCA